GAUAAAUAAAUUAUGCUCUUGGAGAUUAAUUUGGAAAACGAAUAAAAUCCCAGUAAGCAAGCACUUUCAAAUCAAAUUUCAAAAGUCUCUGAAAAUUGUAUGAAUAAUGAAUAUUAAAGUCUGUUGCGCGAAUUAUUAAACAAGAACAUUAUUGCACUAGAAUUUAUGUUGAGAACGAGAUCCAAUGAAAAAAAGGCCAUGUAUAGCUCUAAAAAUGGAUAUUCUUAUUGUUGACAUACCUGUAAUUGAAAAAAAAUAGCUUAAGAAGAAAGGAAUUUAAAGUACUUUGGAUAGCCUCGUCGUUUUUGUUGUACCUUCAAAACCCUAAAGCAUAGUCUUUGAGUACAGAAAAAAAGAAAAGUCAUUUUUAAAUAAGUAGAAUCGACACAUAGUAGAUGCUAUAAGAAGCAUGAACAUUUUGUAGCAACCCCAAAUUGAAGAAGCAAUUCGCCCUAUCGUAAAUAUGGUUAUACUCCGGAUAAGCGUUUAGACAAACUUUUCUAGUUAAAGUAUAGCUAAUGCUGGGUUCUUCGGGACAUCCAAUUCAAAACACUUCAAAGAAAUGAGACAAGUAAUAAGAUAGAUAAGAAUGCCAACUGGAUCUAGUUAGAAUAUUCAAGGUCCAACCAACUUUAUUCACAUAAUGAGUCUUACUAUAACACAGUGGAGCAGAAAUUAUGAUACAUCUCUUCCUAAGCAGAUUAUUGAUAAUUAAAUGGAACAGCAAGGGACGUUCUUUUAAUGAAGAACUAAAAUCCUAUAAGCUUCCGGCCGAUCUUGCUUUCAAAUCAGAGUUUAAAAAAAUAAAAAUUUCCAACUGCAUCUGAAUACAUUCCGAUUUUAAACAUUUGUGAGGUUGGCCAAAAAUGAAUACUUUAAGAAAACAGAUUCUAAAUUAAAAGAUUGUUUGUACUGACUACAAAAACUUGCUAAACCUAAAGUAGACAGUUUUGCCAGUGGGUAAUAUAUUGGACACAUUGAACCAGAACAAGAACGUACAGAAUAUGAAGCUGAAAUUGAAAGAGUGUGCUGCAUUUGCUGCUUGAAGCUAUGUAUAACACUAGAAAGUUCAUGCAUUAAAAAUAUUUACUCUUUUAAAACGAACAAAUAAAUGAAGUAUGUAAGCAUGUAUAAUAUUUAUAAAAUUAAAUAUGAACUUACCAAC
This is a long non-coding RNA of Eupeodes corollae, 1165 nucleotides long. RefSeq lists it as uncharacterized. The record is from RefSeq and is a predicted model, not a curated record. The transcript has 5 exons. NCBI's taxonomy places the organism in Eukaryota, Metazoa, Arthropoda, Insecta, Diptera, Syrphidae.